CGCCGGGGUGAAUACGUUCCCGGGCCUUGUACACACCGCCCGUCAAGCCAUGGAAGCUGGGUGUACCUAAAGUCGAUAACCGUAAGGAGUCGCCUAGGGUAAAACUAGUAACUGGGGCU
Molecule: ribosomal RNA, 119 nt
Filed under: uncultured bacterium
Lineage: Bacteria
Description: partial 16S ribosomal RNA
Rfam family: Bacterial small subunit ribosomal RNA
Source: RNAcentral